RNAcentral lists this ribosomal RNA (414 nucleotides) under Triticum aestivum (bread wheat). RNAcentral describes it as "partial small subunit ribosomal RNA". The record is from RNAcentral. Lineage: Eukaryota; Viridiplantae; Streptophyta; Magnoliopsida; Poales; Poaceae.
AUGGCAAUUGUCCAUACAUACGGGAAGCCUAACAUCUUCUUGACCAUGACUUGCAAUCCUAAAUGGGAAGAGAUAACGAAUGAGUUGCUGCUUGGUCAGACGGUGCAAGACCGACCUGAUAUUGUGGCUUGCGUGUUCUACGGCAAACUAUAGGCUAUGAAAGACAUGUUGUUCAAGAAGCAUAUUCUGGGUGUUGUUGUCGCUUAUGUAUACGUAGUCGAGUUCCAAAAAAGGGGCCUUCCCCACGCACAUUUUUUGUUGAUCAUGGACUCAGCAUAUAAGCUUAUCAUCCCGGAGCAGUAUGACCGACUCAUUUCCGCGGAGCUCCCAGACAAGCAUAAGUAUCCCGGAAUUGUAUGCAAUGGUGGUAAAACAUAUGAUGCACGGACCAUGCGGUGCUCUCAACCCAAAUAA